This 73-nucleotide transfer RNA is filed under the name Ailuropoda melanoleuca (giant panda). It matches the Rfam family "tRNA". Rfam says of the family: Transfer RNA (tRNA) molecules are approximately 80 nucleotides in length. Their secondary structure includes four short double-helical elements and three loops (D, anti-codon, and T loops). The record is from Rfam by way of RNAcentral. Lineage: Eukaryota; Metazoa; Chordata; Mammalia; Carnivora; Ursidae.
GCCCAGCUGGCUUAGUUGGUGGAGUGUGUGACUCUUGAUCUCGGGGCUGUGGGUUCAAAUCCCACAUUGGGUG